RNAcentral lists this ribosomal RNA (253 nucleotides) under uncultured bacterium. RNAcentral's name for it is "partial 16S ribosomal RNA". It matches the Rfam family "Bacterial small subunit ribosomal RNA", at positions 524 to 776 of the family's 1533-position model. The record is from RNAcentral.
UACGUAGGGCGCGAGCGUUGUCCGGAAUUAUUGGGCGUAAAGAGCUCGUAGGCGGUUUGUCACGUCUGCUGUGAAAUCCCGAGGCUCAACCUCGGGCCUGCAGUGGGUACGGGCAGACUGGAGUGCGGUAGGGGAGAAUGGAAUUCCUGGUGUAGCGGUGGAAUGCGCAGAUAUCAGGAAGAACACCCGUGGCGAAGGCGGCUCUCUGGUACGUGACUGACGCUGAGACGCGAAAGCGUGGGGAGCGAACAGG